CAGCAGCCGCGGUAAUACGUAGGUGGCAAGCGUUGUCCGGAAUUAUUGGGCGUAAAGGGCUCGCAGGCGGUUUCUUAAGUCUGAUGUGAAAGCCCCCGGCUCAACCGGGGAGGGUCAUUGGAAACUGGGAAACUUGAGUGCAGAAGAGGAGAGUGGAAUUCCACGUGUAGCGGUGAAAUGCGUAGAGAUGUGGAGGAACACCAGUGGCGAAGGCGACUCUCUGGUCUGUAACUGACGCUGAGGAGCGAAAGCGUGGGAAGCGAACAGGAUUAGAUACCCCAGUAGUCCCUGUCUCUUAUAC
Molecule: ribosomal RNA, 301 nt
Filed under: uncultured bacterium
Lineage: Bacteria
Description: partial 16S ribosomal RNA
Rfam family: Bacterial small subunit ribosomal RNA
Source: RNAcentral